This 429-nucleotide ribosomal RNA is filed under the name Bacteroidota bacterium. RNAcentral describes it as "Bacteroidetes bacterium partial 16S ribosomal RNA". It matches the Rfam family "Bacterial small subunit ribosomal RNA", at positions 355 to 776 of the family's 1533-position model. Lineage: Bacteria; Pseudomonadati; Bacteroidota. The record is from RNAcentral.
UAGGGAAUCUUCGGCAAUGGGGGGAACCCUGACCGAGCAACGCCGCGUGAGUGAAGAAGGUUUUCGGAUCGUAAAGCUCUGUUGUUAAGGAAGAACGAGUGUGAGAAUGGAAAGUUCAUACUGUGACGGUACUUAACCAGAAAGGGACGGCUAACUACGUGCCAGCAGCCGCGGUAAUACGUAGGUCCCGAGCGUUGUCCGGAUUUAUUGGGCGUAAAGCGAGCGCAGGCGGUUAGAUAAGUCUGAAGUGAAAGGCAGUGGCUCAACCAUUGUAGGCUUUGGAAACUGUUUAACUUGAGUGCAGAAGGGGAGAGUGGAAUUCCAUGUGUGGCGGUGAAAUGCGUAGAUAUAUGGAGGAACACCGGUGGCGAGAGCGGCUCUCUGGUCUGUAACUGACGCUGAGGCUCGAAAGCGUGGGGAGCGAACAGG